RNAcentral lists this long non-coding RNA (1847 nucleotides) under Pan troglodytes (chimpanzee). RNAcentral's name for it is "long non-coding RNA NONPTRT002248". The record is from RNAcentral. Lineage: Eukaryota; Metazoa; Chordata; Mammalia; Primates; Hominidae.
GGCUCUGAUCCUCUCUGGGCCUCUUUAUUUCUUGCAGUGCCUGCCUCAUGGGAUUGCAGGGACCAAAGGAUUUGGGUGCCGGCAAUUGGAGGGCCCUUCUGUGGGCCAGCAUUGGGCAGGUGCCUCCCACGUGGUUCUCUUUUUGUCCUCCCAGUAGCCCUGUGCAUCAGACGUGGAGCUGUGCUGCAUGCACCCACUUGCCCCACUCGCCUCAGAGGAGCUUUCCUUGCAGGAGGAAUUUGAUAGAUUUUAAUACUGGAGUCCCCUGCUGACCAGGCUUUGCAUUUCCUUACCUACCCUCGGCUCUAACUUUGGCCUGGUGAAGCAGGGCACCACAGGACAUCAGGGUCACACAUCUCAGACCACAAGAGCCUAGCAGUCUCCAAGACAAAGUAGAGAUUGAAGGCCCUGCCUCUCCUUCCAGAGUACUGAGGAGCCUCCUGCCUUCCUGAGUGAGGCUGGGGGAUCAAAGCUCAACAAUAGUGGGUUGUCAGAAUUACGUUUCUAGAAAGGAAAAUCAAGACCGAUUUUUAUGGGGAGUAUAGCAUUAUGCUCCAGUAAUAGUACUAUUAGCUCCAUUGCACAGAGGAGGAAAUUGAGGCUUAGAGAAUUUCUGAUUGUCUAAAGACAUCUUUCCUGGAACUGGUGGAUCAGGGACAAGAACCCUGAUUUGUUGAUGUCAAAGCGUGUGUAGCCUUUCCUUUUUUAUAUCUUCUGGAUCAGCAAGACCACCGCAUUUGGGGAACAGAAGGCACAAUGGAGGGAGUGGCACAGCUGCAACGUGAAGGGCUCCAUGUGGGGCCUUGGAGACACCAAGCUGCCCUCCUUCUGGUCCGAGCUGCCCACUUCCCAUCCCUCAUCCCUCCUCCUUCAGCUUAGGGCCAGCUGCACCUGGCUCCAGGCCUUGCUGGGGGCUCCUUCACCCCUUGGAGUCUGGGCCUCAGAGUGACGUCCCAGGCUGAGGCUCAUUGGGAGGGGUCAGCAUUGGCAUCAGGAGACUGGGGUCAAGUCUGAGUUCUGACAGUGACUGUGUGACCUUGGACAGUCACUUGCCCUCGCUGGGCCUUGGUUUUCCUGUUGUGAAGUCAUAUGGUCCUGGGAUGUGGGCAAGGAUAGAGAAAUGAGACACUUCAGCUCCCCACUCACAAGCCGUGCCCCCUCAGGCCCACCACUUAGGUUUUCUUAGCCCCUCCAUUUUCCCCGGCAUAAAAUGGGGAUAAUGAAGCCCAUUCCUUCCGAUCGUUAAGGAAACCAGCAUUUACUGAAGGCUCGGCCCCGUGCAAGAUGCUCUCUGAAGCAUUUUCUCUCAUGGACUCCCAUCCAAACAACAAUGAAAUGAAAUGACUUGCUUUUGGUCUUUCAUACAAUGUCUCUUUGCAGCCUCUCCUGGUCUGACAGUCUCAGAUGCAGUCAUGGAUGGCUUUCUGGAGGAGGUGGUACCUGGUCUGUGGGAAGUAGGGGUCAGCAUCCUGGUCUCCGGGAUCAUCUGCUCCAGAUGGUUUCCCUGGGGCCCCCAGAAGCAGGUGUUUGCGCUAACAGCUCUGCAAGCAGAGAGCUUCAGUGCAUGGCCCUUCUUGCCCUUGUUCCCAGGCACAUGCUGUUCCCCUGGGGCUGAAUACCCCACUUACUUGUAAAUCCCAGUGCUCUCUUGUUCAUUCUGCAGUGCCAGCACAAGUCUCCUCCUUGGGGAAGGCUUUCUGGACUUCCCAGGCCACUGGCCAUUGUUCCGUCUUGCAGGUGCCCCCUCAGGGUGCCUGCUAUAACCGUCACUCACAUAUCUCCCCCACCCAACAGAGAGCCUUGCUUUUGGUCCUGGACCUGCACCUUUGACUGUAUUCUUAGUAAUU